Molecule: long non-coding RNA, 263 nt
Organism: Aricia agestis (brown argus)
Lineage: Eukaryota; Metazoa; Arthropoda; Insecta; Lepidoptera; Lycaenidae
Exons: 3
Source: RefSeq, a predicted model, not a curated record
CGAUGACGCGCCAUAAGCGUCAUCGGCCCUGCUAAACGAUGACGCCCCACGUGCGGCAUUGGCCACUGGUUGUGUUUUAUGCACAUUUAGACUAAGGAAUUGUAAUUACAGUAUAAUCAAUUAGUUUUAACGUGUUUUUUUAACAAUCCUUGUAUGCCGCGCCUGGCGCGUCAUCGGCCUCACUGAAUCUUUUUAAAUGACGCGCUGGGCGCGGCAGUGGCCACGAAUCGGUUAAAUGGAUCCUUAGGAAUUCCCUAUAGUAC